GGGACGGUUGAGGGCGCCGCGGCUUCCAGAGCUGGGCUCCGGGCCUCGGCCUCGAGGCCGGCCCCUCAAGACUCGGACCCCAGAAAGAUUUCAUCACCAGGAGCAUUUUCCGGACCUUACCAAACCACUCACUUUUGUGGCUGCCUCCUGGUGAUGAUGGCUGCGUGAUCACCCACCAUGGCCCACCGGAAGCGUCAGAGCACAGCGAGCAGCAUGCUAGACCACAGGGUGAGGCCGAGCCCCGAGCCGGAGGCUGAGGGUGUGGAGCUGCCCCCAGAGGAGUACACGCCCCAGGGCUUGGAGCUGGCAACCCUGCGGCCCGAGAGCCCGGUGCCCACAGAGCCGGGCUGCCCCGACCACAGCCCCGAUGGGGACUCCAGCUCCGACUAUGUGAACAACACCUCGGAGGAGGAGGACUACGAUGAGGGCCUCCCCGAGGAGGAGGAGGGCAUCACCUACUACAUCCGCUACUGCCCCGAGGACGACAGCUACCUGGAGGGCAUGGACUGCAACGGUGAGGGCUGCCUGGCGCACAGUGCGUCUGGCCUGGAGACUGAUGAGUGCCAGGAGGCGGUGGAGGAGUGGACGGACCCGGCGGGCCCACACCCGCCCGACUGUGAGGACGAGGGCAGCCCGGACUACCGGGGCAGCCACCUCCCCAUCCCAGAGGACGAGCCCUCUGGCCUGGAGGCCCAGGACCAGGAAGAGGGUGUCCACUACUGCCCCAGCGAGGAGGGCUACCCGGACUACUACCCCACUGAGGCCAAUGGGAACGCAGGCAGCGCAUCCCCCUACCGCCCUAGGCGUGGGGACGGGGACCUGGAGGACCAGGAGGAGGACAUCGACCAGAUCGUGGCUGAGAUCAAAAUGAGCUUGAGUAUGACAAGCAUCACCAGCGCCGGUGAGGCCAGCCCAGAGCACACGCUGGUGCGGGCACCGGAGCCAGGGCCUGGGGACUCGGCGGAGGCCUGCCCUCCCGGCGAGGCCAGCCUCGGCCCCAGCAGACACGAGGGGCGGCCCAAGUCUCUGAACCUCCCUCCUGAGGCCAAGCACCCUGGAGAUCCCCAGAGAAGCUUCAAGACCAAGACCAGGACUCCAGAGGAGAGACCAAAGUGGCCCCAAGAGCAGGUUUGCAAUGGUUUGGAGCAGCCGAGGAAACAGCAGCGCUCUGAUCUCAACGGACCUGUUGACAAUAACAACAUCCCAGAGACAAAGAAGGUGGCAUCAUUUCCAAGUUUUGUGGCUGUUCCAGGGCCCUGUGAGCCAGAAGACCUCAUUGAUGGGAUCAUCUUUGCUGCCAACUACCUGGGGUCGACACAGCUGCUUUCGGAGCGGAACCCUUCCAAAAACAUCAGGAUGAUGCAGGCGCAGGAGGCUGUCAGCCGGGUCAAGAAUUCUGAGGGGGAUGCCCAGACUCUGACCGAAGUGGACCUCUUCAUCUCCACCCAGAGGAUCAAGGUGUUAAAUGCGGACACACAGGAGACCAUGAUGGACCACGCCCUGCGCACCAUCUCCUACAUCGCAGACAUCGGAAACAUCGUGGUGCUGAUGGCCAGGCGCCGCAUGCCGAGGUCGGCCUCUCAGGACUGUAUCGAGACCACCCCUGGGGCCCAGGAGGGGAGGAAGCAGUACAAGAUGAUCUGCCACGUGUUCGAGUCCGAGGACGUAAGUAAGCGCAGGCGCGAUGUUCCUUCCGAGGGCCCAGGCCCACUGGGGCUAUAAAUCCCAGGCCCUUCAGAAACCCAGUGUCAGCUGGAGGUCCUGUGCACCAUUGCAGGAAUGGAAGCAAUGGCAUUACCAUAAGUUUGCAGAGACUGUGAACACAGCUCCAUGUUGCUUCAUGAAGUAAGUUCUUCAAGAGCUAUUGAUAAAUGGAACCAUAGGAGUUCCCUGGUGGCUCAGUAGGUUAAGGGUCUGGCAUUGUCACUGCUAUGGUUCUGGUCACUGUUGCUGUGGCUCAGUUUCCAUCCCUGGUCUGGGAAUUUCCACAUGCUGUAGGCGCAGCCAAAAAGAAAAAGAUAAAAUGGAAGCAUGGUUCAAUAUAUGGAGGGAGCUCUCUAACAAGGUCCUUUAGCAAAAACUUCGUUCUCCCCAAAAUAGCCCUUGACUGACUUUUUUUGUUGUUCACACUCACGCAUGUCAGGGUUUCAAACCGAGAGGCACUUCUGCUUUUGCUCACGGCCACCUCAGUCCACACAAGCUAGAAAACACAGCGGACUCUUGGACAACACGGGUUUGAGCUGCGUGGGUCCACUUAAGGGUAGACCUCGUCAGUAGUAGAUACUACAUGUGACCGAGUUGCCUGAAUCUGCAGAUCCUGAACUGCAACACAGAGGAAUCGUAGCUAUGAAGGGCUGAGUAUAAGGUAGACACAGAUUUUUUUUUUUUUUUUAGACUAUGAAGAGUGUGCAUCCCUAACUCCCGUUUUGUUCAAGGAUCAGCUGUAAUUCUGAAGUUUAAAAUACUGCAGAGUCACUAAACACUUUGACUCUUUCCUUAAAUGGGAUGAGAGCAUCUUUCUGAGCCUGGAAGAGGCGGAAAGGGACUGAAGAAGGGAGCUCCACCCCUCUGCUCCCCACACCCCCCAAAGGCAGAUCUUACCCAGGAUGCCCCAGGAGGCAGCCACUGAUCUGUUCCUAUGAUGUCACCAGGCUAAGGUUUUAAAAACUUCUCUCUCCUCCAUGGACACUGGGAAAGGGCAUUCUCCUUCACCAAAGGACUUCAGGAUGUGUCAGGGGCCUGGAGCAAUGGGAAGGGUCCCACUGUUUUCGGGUUUGAAUGCAGGGUGGGUGGAGGCAGUGAUCUUCUUGCUAAGAAGUUGAAGUCAACCACGAGUGCUUUGAAGCAAUGACAUUUAUUUAUUUAUUUAUUUAUUUAUUUAUUUAUUGCUUUUUAGAGCCAUACCCAUAGCAUAUGGAGGUUCCCAGGCUAGGGGUCUAAUCGGAACUACAGCUGUUGGCCUACUCCACAGCCACAGCAAUGCAGGAUCCGAGCUGCAUCUGUGACCUACACCACAGCUCACGGCAACACCAGAUCCUUAACCCACUGAGUGAGGCCACGGAUCGAACCUGCAACUUCAUGGUUCCUGGUUGGAUCCAUUUCCACUGUGCCACGACAGGAACUCCAAGCAAUGACACAUUUAUAGGAGAAGAGAUUUAAAUGUGGACCCACUGGUGCACACGUGUGCUCCUUUCCCCAUGAAACAUACAGACGUGUGUGGACACUGGCACAGGCAUUUUUGUGUGCCUCACGGCUAGAGGAGGUCUCAGAGACCUGGUGUUGGGGGAAUGUGAUGGGCCUGGAGAAGGGCUGCUGUGAUGGGUGGGGUGCGGUGGGAAGCAGGUCAAGUUGCAGAGGGUGACAGUCUGGUAAGGGGAGCAGGAAGGAGCCCUGAGGUACCAGCCGUGUCCUGAGUGCUUAGGUGGCCUUGGUUUCUCAAUUCCGUGGGAGAGAAAGCUGAGAGCAAAGGCAGGAGUGGAUGGGGCUCCAGGUGGUCUUUGACGGCUUGAGGGAAAGACCAGUGGGAGGGGUGUGAAUGGGACAGAGCUGCUGCCCGGAGAGUCAGACCCUGAUGCCAGGUGGUGGCUCCCCCAAGUUGGUUGCUAGUGUGAGUGAGGGAUCCAAGAGUCUGGUGAGAGCAGAGUGGAGCACCUGGAGGAAAUGGAAGGUGGCCUUAAGGGUCAUGAUGGCCCCCUCAGAGUCUCUUUUUCCCCCCCUUUAAGGUGGAUACUGGUGUGGAUGAGCUGCAGAAAUGAAAGUCCUGGGGGCUGGGCAACUUCCUCUCCCCUCCUUCACCCACACACAGAGGCCACCUCUGAGUGCGCACCUCUGAUGCCAGCCCCUUGGGGGAGGCUCCCCCAGAGUCUGCUCGGGACUGUCCCCAGCCAGGGUAGGAGGGAUGCCAGGACGCCGGGCAGAUGGGGGUAUGGGAGACUGCAGCUUGCAACUGGUGGGAAGACACUGGACUGCAACCCACGGAGCCCAGGCAUGGACAGCCUCGGCCCCCAGGUAGUGGGCAGUGGGCGGAGUGAGGGGAAUAGAGCGAUGCUCUCACACACUCUUCCCAGCCAGGGAACAGAUGGACCCAGAAGCCUGGGGGCAGCAGGUGGUGGCAAACUCUAGACCUCAGUGGGGCAAGGCAGGUCCAGCUCUCUGGGGUGUCCUGUGCCUCUACCCCAAACACUUGGAUCAGCUUCCUCCCAGAAGCUCCAACCCCCAGCUUCCAUAACUCCCCAACCCAAGCCCUGCUGUGGUCUGGGCCAGUGGUGCCACCUGGUGGCCUCAGGGCUCCAUGCCUGGUCCUCCUUCAGCGAGCAACCAGACUGCCAAGAGGCUGCUCCUGGGUGUGGGCAGGGCUCCGUCCUGCAAGUGGACACAGGCUUCCCUCCUGCAGACUGUUUGGGGCCCAGUUGGGGAGGGCUGUCCAGUCGGUACUGUUUAAAGGAAGGACUCUGGCCUUGGCCUCUGUUACCCGGCCCAGCCCUUUCUUUCACAAGGGCUUUUUCAUUUGCAGCCUGUGAAUUGUGCAGCAUGUAGAGUGAAGUGGGCUUUAGGUCAAACCCCUUGAUUCCACCUGUUUGCAGGUCCUGUUGACCCAAGGUUUGCUGGGGGCACCUGUGCAGAGGCCCCUUUUUGGCAACAGGGAGGUAGAGGGUAAAUGGGUACUGGAGCCUCUGUGGCCUGGGGCUGAGGGAUCACUGGGGGUCCCACUGCUUCUCUUGGACUGCCCAGCUGCCAUUCACCUGACUCGUCCCGAGAGCUGGGUCUUAGCCCUUGUUUCCCGCCAUCCUUAUCUGUGCACCAGCAGGUGGCACAUAAGCCCCAUGUCCAGGCCUCUGCAGUGUCAGAGAUUCAGUAGAGUCCAUAGAUGUGGUCCUGUUGAAAUAGAAAGAAGUGAUUGCUCCAUGAUUUGCCCUGUGCUGGUGUCCCUGAGGCCCCAUGCUUCUUGGCCUCAGUCUGGUGCCUCCCCACAAAAGUGGCUGGCCACACACCCUGCCUCCCUGGCUGGAUGGGUCUUAUUGCUGCUGAGAGAUAAAGGCUUGAUGGAUGGCUAACAGUCUCUGUGAUGCUCCCCAGAGGACACUUCCAGUCUGUGUUUGGAAUAAGAUGGGUGGAAAGCAAAUACGGUGUAGUCACCAGUGAAAGCAGCAAAACUAUGAUAGGUAGCAAGUAAUUCAUAACAUCCCCAGACAUUAUUGGAAUCUGUUCUUAGUCUUAGGAUGUCUAAGACUUAUGGCAGCUGGGGUUGGGUCGGGCGGGGGCAGCAGGCCCUGAUGGGUCCAAGGCAGCACCCCCACAGAGACCCACAGUGGCAUGUGGGUGGGAGAUAGCUCUCUCAGGACCCAGGCCGCGGUCUCUCUGCUGCUUCCCUUAUUGAAGCCCAGGCAGGGGCCCCUUGCAGGCUGUGCCCUCCUCUCCAGUGGGCACCCCUCCCCACAGGCUCAGCUGAUCGCCCAGUCCAUCGGCCAGGCCUUCAGCGUGGCCUACCAGGAAUUCCUGCGGGCCAACGGCAUCAACCCUGAGGACCUGAGCCAGAAGGAGUACAGUGACAUCAUCAACACCCAGGAAAUGUACAACGACGACCUCAUCCACUUCUCCAACUCAGAGAACUGCAAGGAGCUGCAGCUGGAGAAGCACAAGGGAGAGAUCCUGGGCGUGGUGGUGGUGGAGUCGGGCUGGGGCUCCAUCUUGCCCACAGUGAUCCUGGCCAACAUGAUGAAUGGCGGCCCGGCUGCCCGCUCGGGGAAGCUGAGCAUCGGCGACCAGAUCAUGUCCAUUAAUGGCACCAGCCUGGUAGGGCUGCCCCUCGCCACCUGCCAGGGCAUCAUCAAGGGUCUGAAGAACCAGACACAGGUGAAGCUCAACAUCGUCAGCUGUCCUCCGGUCACCACCGUCCUCAUCAAGCGGCCAGACCUCAAGUACCAGCUGGGCUUCAGCGUGCAGAAUGGAAUCAUCUGCAGCCUCAUGCGCGGGGGCAUCGCAGAGCGGGGUGGCGUCCGAGUUGGCCACCGCAUCAUUGAGAUCAACGGGCAAAGCGUGGUGGCCACCGCCCACGAGAAGAUUGUCCAGGCAUUGUCCAACUCGGUUGGAGAGAUCCACAUGAAGACCAUGCCUGCCGCCAUGUUCAGGCUCCUCACAGGCCAGGAGACCCCGCUCUACAUCUAGGCCACCCACCGCACCCCAAGGAGCGGGAGCCAGACCCGGGACCUGACCCCUGACCCCACCGCCCACCUAAGGACACUGGCUCCCCUGAAGGGCACGCCCUCACCACCCACUUUUUUUUUUGGACUCAAAGGGGUAUGUCUUCAUCCAAGGAGGGUCACAAGAACCAAUCUUUGUAGAACAGUCAAGUAUUUUGCCGCAUUCUGACUUUUCUCAUUGCAACGGACAAGGGUUUCUUUGUACCCCUGUGUGGUGUGGAGCCGUGGAGGGUGAAUGUGGGUGCCUCUGGAUGCGGCCGUGCAGGGAGCCCCUCGAGGACGGUGAGCUCCUGGGGGGCAGCAGCGAUGGCCCCACCCUUGGCUGGGGCUCCGGGGUCCUGCAGGGAGGGCAUCCCGACAGCCCGGAUGGCUGCCUCCCAGGGUAGCCGGCUCUCAGGAUGUGACUGGUCAUUGAAGUUGGGGACCACGUGAUGUAUUUCCCGAGAAAGGAGACAUCCUUCAGUUCAAUAAAGGAUGAUGGCCACA
This 6686-nucleotide long non-coding RNA is filed under the name Sus scrofa (pig). RNAcentral describes it as "lncRNA (ENSSSCG00025010169.1)". Lineage: Eukaryota; Metazoa; Chordata; Mammalia; Artiodactyla; Suidae. The record is from RNAcentral.